GUGGGGAAUAUUGGACAAUGGGCGAAAGCCUGAUCCAGCCAUGCCGCGUGUGUGAAGAAGGUCUUCGGAUUGUAAAGCACUUUAAGUUGGGAGGAAGGGCAGUAAGUUAAUACCUUGCUGUUUUGACGUUACCGACAGAAUAAGCACCGGCUAACUUCGUGCCAGCAGCCGCGGUAAUACGAAGGGUGCAAGCGUUAAUCGGAAUUACUGGGCGUAAAGCGCGCGUAGGUGGUUCAGCAAGUUGGAGGUGACAUCCCCGGGCUCAACAUAGGAACUGCCUCCAAAACUACUGAGCUAGAGUACGGUAGAGGGUAGUGGAAUUUCCUGUGUAGCGGUGAAAUGCGUAGAUAUAGGAAGGAACACCAGUGGCGAAGGCGACUACCUGGACUGAUACUGACACUGAGGUGCGAAAGCGUGGGGAGCAAACAGGAUUAGAUACCCCAGUAGUCC
Molecule: ribosomal RNA, 450 nt
Filed under: uncultured bacterium
Lineage: Bacteria
Description: bacterial SSU rRNA
Rfam family: Bacterial small subunit ribosomal RNA
Source: RNAcentral